GUAAGCGCGGCGUAGGGCGUCGUUUAGUGGUGAACGUGAGCCGGUUAAGCUUUGCCCCGGCCACGCACUGAUGAAGCUACCAAAUCCCGGAGCCUGACCGCCGGCGCCGGGUGGCGGGAAUGUAAAUGACGGUAUGCACCCGGAGAAAGUUGCGCGGAAAUAUUUUCGGACAGGGGUUCGACUCCCCUCGCCUCCACCA
This 199-nucleotide transfer-messenger RNA is filed under the name Oscillospiraceae bacterium. RNAcentral's name for it is "partial transfer-messenger RNA". It matches the Rfam family "transfer-messenger RNA", at positions 165 to 374 of the family's 374-position model. From Rfam's summary of the family: Bacterial tmRNA, also known as 10Sa RNA or SsrA, is named for its dual tRNA and mRNA-like properties. Its role is to liberate the mRNA from a stalled ribosome. The record is from RNAcentral. Lineage: Bacteria; Bacillati; Bacillota; Clostridia; Eubacteriales; Oscillospiraceae.